CAGUAGCCGCGGGAAAACGUAGGUGGCAAGCGUUGUCCGGAAUUAUUGGGCGUAAAGCGCGCGCAGGCGGAUCAGUCAGUCUGUCUUAAAAGUUCGAGGCUUAACCCCGUGAUGGGAUGGAAACUGCUGAUCUAGAGUAUCGGAGAGGAAAGUGGAAUUCCUAGUGUAGCGGUGAAAUGCGUAGAGAUUAGGAGGAACACCAGUGGCGAAGGCGGCUUUUUGGCCUGUAACUGACACUGAGGCGCGAAAGCGUGGGGAGCAAACAGGAUUAGAUACCCGCGUAGUCCCUGUCUCUUAACAC
This 301-nucleotide ribosomal RNA is filed under the name uncultured bacterium. RNAcentral's name for it is "partial 16S ribosomal RNA". It matches the Rfam family "Bacterial small subunit ribosomal RNA", at positions 509 to 809 of the family's 1533-position model. The record is from RNAcentral.